This 253-nucleotide unclassified non-coding RNA is filed under the name uncultured Bradymonadales bacterium. RNAcentral describes it as "contains 16S-23S intergenic spacer region". It matches the Rfam family "Bacterial small subunit ribosomal RNA", at positions 524 to 776 of the family's 1533-position model. The record is from RNAcentral. Lineage: Bacteria; Deltaproteobacteria; Bradymonadales.
UACGGAGGUUGCGAGCGUUGUUCGGAAUUACUGGGCGUAAAGCGCGUGUAGGCGGUGGCGUAAGUCGGGUGUGAAAUCCCCGGGCUCAACCCAGGAACUGCGCCCGAAACUGCGCCGCUGGAGUACGGGAGAGGGGAGUGGAAUUCCUGGUGUAGAGGUGAAAUUCGUAGAUAUCAGGAGGAACACCCGCGGCGAAGGCGACUCCCUGGACCGAUACUGACGCUGAGACGCGAAAGCGUGGGGAGCAAACAGG